RNAcentral lists this ribosomal RNA (387 nucleotides) under uncultured bacterium. RNAcentral's name for it is "bacterial SSU rRNA". It matches the Rfam family "Bacterial small subunit ribosomal RNA", at positions 29 to 440 of the family's 1533-position model. The record is from RNAcentral.
AACGAACGCUGGCGGCAGGCCUAACACAUGCAAGUCGAACGCUCGUAGCAAUACGGGAGUGGCAGACGGGUGCGUAACGCGUGGGAACAUACCCUUUGGUUCGGAAUAACUCAGGGAAACUUGAGCUAAUACCGGAUACGCCCGAGAGGGGAAAGAUUUAUUGCCGAAGGAUUGGCCCGCGUCUGAUUAGCUAGUUGAUAGGGGUAAACGGCCUACCAAGGCGACGAUCAGUAGCUGGUCUGAGAGGAUGAUCAGCCACACUGGGACUGAGACACGGCCCAGACUCCUACGGGAGGCAGCAGUGGGGAAUAUUGGACAAUGGGCGCAAGCCUGACCAGCCAUGCCGCGUGAGUGAUGACGGCCUUAGGGUUGUAAAGCUCUUUUACC